This 253-nucleotide ribosomal RNA is filed under the name uncultured bacterium. Its description in RNAcentral is "partial 16S ribosomal RNA". It matches the Rfam family "Bacterial small subunit ribosomal RNA", at positions 524 to 776 of the family's 1533-position model. The record is from RNAcentral.
UACGUAGGGGGCGAGCGUUGUCCGGAGUUACUGGGCGUAAAGCGCACGCAGGCGGUCUCUUAAGUUUGGAGUGACAGUUGGUGGCUUAACUGCCAAAGUGCUUCGAAAACUGAGAGACUUGAGGGCUUCAGAGGGACACGGAAUUCCGGGUGGAGUGGUGAAAUGCGUAGAGAUCCGGAGGAACACCAAAGGCGAAGGCAGUGUCCUGGGGAGUACCUGACGCUCAGGUGCGAAAGCCAGGGGAGCGAACGGG